AAUUGUUCGCAAUGGGCGCAAGCCUGACGACGCAACGCCGCGUGGAGGACGAAGAUCUUCGGGUCGUAAACUCCUUUCGAUCGGGAAGAACGGCUUCCGGGUGAAUAAUCCGGGAGAGUGACGGUACCGAGAAAAGAAGCCCCGGCUAACUCUGUGCCAGCAGCCGCGGUAAUACAGGGGGGGCAAGCGUUGUUCGGAAUUACUGGGCGUAAAGCGCGCGCAGGCGGGCUGGUCAGUCUGGGGUGAAAUCUCACGGCUCAACCGUGAGAGGUCCCUGGAUACUGCUAGCCUUGAGGGGCUCAGAGGAGAGUGGAAUUCCGGGUGUAGUGGUGGAAUGCGUAGAUAUCCGGAGGAACACCAGUGGCGAAAGCGGCUCUCUGGGGGCAACCUGACGCUGAGGCGCGAAAGCGUGGGGAGCGAAC
RNAcentral lists this ribosomal RNA (422 nucleotides) under uncultured bacterium. RNAcentral describes it as "bacterial SSU rRNA". It matches the Rfam family "Bacterial small subunit ribosomal RNA", at positions 360 to 773 of the family's 1533-position model. The record is from RNAcentral.